This 1230-nucleotide long non-coding RNA is filed under the name Phascolarctos cinereus (koala). RNAcentral describes it as "lncRNA (ENSPCIG00000035493.1)". The record is from RNAcentral. Lineage: Eukaryota; Metazoa; Chordata; Mammalia; Diprotodontia; Phascolarctidae.
CAAUCAUGUUCUGCUGUGUAUAUGGAAAUACUCUCUAGGGUUUUAAAGUUCAGAAUAAAAAUAUAUGUUUUUUUAAAAGGAAAGAAAUCCCUAGAAGGGUCUAAGCAGGCUGUGGGUGCAAGAAGUAAGAAGAGAGACAGCUCCCAGAAGCCCUGGGGAUACAGAAGAAGCAUCUCCUUUCAGCUUAGGGGAAUUUCUUUACAGAACCUUGGAUGUGUGACCCAUAUUUCUCUUGCUGGUUGCCACGAGACAUCACUUCCCCAUGUGGGGAGAUGGAGUCAUGGACACAGGCGUCCACAACAAUCCACCAGAUUAUUCGAGGAAGGGCAAAUAGAAAGGCAAUCUGUGGAGACAGCUAUACCUAGGAAUCCUGCUGCUGGCGACAGAUUCUUAUGGAAGAGGUGGCUUCUACCUAUCCAAGAACUGACUGUGGAGGAUGAAAGAAAGCCACCACUGAUAACAACAGUUUAAAGGCUCAGCCAAAGUUACCAACACAUCAAAUCCAACAUCAUGAGCAAUGUUCAACACCCACAUUGUUGUCAUUGUGCAUAGUUUUCCUAAUUCUGCUUAGUUUACUUUACAUCAGUUCAUAUAUGUGUUCCUAUACUUUUCUGUAUUUAUCACAUUGAAUGUUUCUUCAAGUGUAAUAAUAUUCCUGUACACUCACAUAACAAAUUUUUUUUUAACAAAUUCCAACUCUAUGUGAUGCGGAUGGGAUCUGAACUCCUAAAAGGAAAAGACCAUGUCUUUGGGAUCUGGACCCCAAAAAGGAAAAGCCCCUGGACUUUCCCACAUGGCCCAGGUCCCUGGCAUUUGCCUGGGGCACCUGGCCCCUUCCCAGUUAUCUUUUCACCUGCCCUUUCAUUGUGGCCCUCAUUGUCUGCACCUGGCCCCACACUAGACUGCCACUUCUUGAUUCCAUCUAGACCCCCUCUCUGUUACCUCCCAGUCACCCCAGCCUACUGUCCAAUCCCAUCCAGAUCUUCCCACAGCCUUACUUAUAAAAGGUCCACCUUGUCUGCAUUAAGGUGCCCAGAUUCUCUGAGUCUGGCCCGCUUGUCAAUACAAGUGUCAGAAAUGUUCAGAUUCCUUAAGAGUCUGGUCUGGUUGUAUUCUCAUUACAAAGGCUCAGAUUCUUAAAAUCUGACCAAUAGCACAGAUUCUUAAAAAUUUGCCCACCUCAAUCAGUGUUUUAAUAAACCUUGCCUCUGAUCGAAAGAAGGCUUGAGU